AUGAACGCUGGCGGCGUGCCUAAUACAUGCAAGUCGCGCGAACGGACGAGAAGCUUGCUUCUCUGAUGUUAGCGGCGGACGGGUGAGUAACACGUGGAUAACCUACCUAUAAGACUGGGAUAACUUCGGGAAACCGGAGCUAAUACCGGAUAAUAUUUUGAACCGCCUGGUUCAAAAGUGAAAGACGGUCUUGCUGUCACUUAUAGAUGGAUCCGCGCUGCAUUAGCUAGUUGGUAAGGUAACGGCUUACCAAGGCAACGAUGCAUAGCCGACCUGAGAGGGUGAUCGGCCACACUGGAACUGAGACACGGUCCAGACUCCUACGGGAGGCAGCAGUAGGGAAUCUUCCGCAAUGGGCGAAAGCCUGACGGAGCAACGCCGCGUGAGUGAUGAAGGUCUUCGGAUCGUAAAACUCUGUUAUUAGGGAAGAACAUAUGUGUAAGUAACUGUGCACAUCUUGACGGUACCUAAUCAGAAGGCCACGGCUAACUACGUG
RNAcentral lists this ribosomal RNA (496 nucleotides) under uncultured bacterium. RNAcentral describes it as "partial 16S ribosomal RNA". It matches the Rfam family "Bacterial small subunit ribosomal RNA", at positions 29 to 507 of the family's 1533-position model. The record is from RNAcentral.